ACAUCUUCUUGAUGACGUAUAUUCACACAGUGCUUGCGCACAGAAAUGAACCCACACACUUAUAAGAGCCAUCUCUGCGAUCUUUGCAUCAGACUGACCAAGCCACUAAGUGCUGGAGCGUAAUCUCACCUGUCACACGACGUCAUAACCAGAUACUUUAUAUUUCAACAGAGUCAAUGGGGCAUGUUUGGGCCUUCGGUUUCCUUUCCCUUGUAUGGACAGCGUACACUUCUGCUCGAGAUGAUCCUCUUUCGUGUAUGAAGGUCUGGUGCCCAGACGUCAGACGUUUUUCAACGAACAAGUACAUUUGCCCUGCGGACCA
Molecule: long non-coding RNA, 322 nt
Organism: Dermacentor silvarum
Lineage: Eukaryota; Metazoa; Arthropoda; Arachnida; Ixodida; Ixodidae
Exons: 3
Source: RefSeq, a predicted model, not a curated record